This 450-nucleotide ribosomal RNA is filed under the name uncultured bacterium. RNAcentral describes it as "partial 16S ribosomal RNA". It matches the Rfam family "Bacterial small subunit ribosomal RNA", at positions 338 to 795 of the family's 1533-position model. The record is from RNAcentral.
CCUACGGGUGGCAGCAGUCGAGAAUUUUUCACAAUGGGCGCAAGCCUGAUGGAGCGACGCCGCGUGGGGGAUGAAUGGCUUCGGCCCGUAAACCCCUGUCAUUCGCGAUCAAGGCGCAUUAUUUAAAAGAUGAUGUGUUGAUAGUAGCGGAAGAGGAAGGGACGGCUAACUCUGUGCCAGCAGCCGCGGUAAUACAGAGGUCCCGAGCGUGGUUCGGAUUCACUGGGCGUAAAGGGUGCGAGUGUGAUGGGAACUCCCCGGGCUUAACUCGGGAAAGGCAUUGGAAACUACCCUGCUGGAGGUUCGGAGGGGGGACUGGAAUUCUCGGUGUAGCAGUGAAAUGCGUAGAGAUCGAGAGGAACACCAGUGGCGAAGGCGGGUCCCUGGACGACACCUGACACUGAGGCACGAAAGCUAGGGGAGCAAACAGGAUUAGAUACCCCUGUAGUC